RNAcentral lists this ribosomal RNA (442 nucleotides) under uncultured bacterium. RNAcentral describes it as "partial 16S ribosomal RNA". It matches the Rfam family "Bacterial small subunit ribosomal RNA", at positions 338 to 795 of the family's 1533-position model. The record is from RNAcentral.
CCUACGGGAUGCAGCAGUGGGGAAUAUUGGGCAAUGGGCGCAAGCCUGACCCAGCAACUCCGCGUGAAGGAAGAAGGCUUUCGGGUUGUAAACUACUUUUAAGAGGGAAGAGCAGAAGACGGUACCUCUUGAAUAAGCCACGGCUAACUACGUGCAAGCAGCCGCGGUAAUACGUAGGUGGCAAGCGUUGUCCGGAUUUACUGGGUGUAAAGGGCGGGUAUCCGGGCUGACAAGUCUGAUGUGAAAUUCCGGGGCUUAACCCCGGACCUGCAUUUGAAACUGUUGGUCGUGAGUAUCGGAGAGGCAGGCGGAAUUCCAAGUGUAGCGGUGAAAUGCGUAGAUAUUAGGAGGAACACCAGUGGCGAAGGCGGCCUGCUGGACGACAACUGACGGUGAGGCGCGAAAGCGUGGGGAGCAAACAGGAUUAGAUACCCGGGUAGUC